CUCCUCUUCAGUCCUUCAGUUCAGGAUGGAUUAAACCUGUCCUGGACCGUUCCUCUGUUCUGUCCUCCUCUUCAGUCCUUCAGUUCAGGAUGGAUUAAACCUGUCCUGGAUCGUUCCUCUGUUCUGUCCUCCUCUUCAGUCCUUCAGUUCAGGAUGGAUUAAACCUGUCCUGGACCGUUCCUCUGUUCUGUCCUCCUCUUCAGUCCUUCAGUUCAGGAUGGAUGAGUUCAUCUACCUGGAUCUUUAACUGACAGUAUUAUUAUGCACAUUUCUCUAAAACGUGUUACUGUUCUGUCAGGAAUCCGUCUAUCUAAUAACUGUUUUCAGAUUUCUUUUGUAACACAAUGUUAUGAGCAGAGAUGCAGUUUUCACAAAUUGGUAGCGGAUUGAUUUUUUUUAUUUUAUUUUUUAAAUCGUAGGAUAUUUUUUUGUAUCUCGAUCUGAUGCUUACAGGAUGUGAUGUAAUGCCUUGCAGUCAGUGACUGUCAGGACAUGUUUAGUAACAGAGAGGGAUAUGGUAUGUCUCUGAGUUGGUCUCGUUAGCUCUCCCGGUACCCUUUUUUUUAUAUGUGUUCAGUAACGCUGAGUGUGCUUUCCGUUUGUCUGUGUUAAGACAGUCUUGUUGUUGCCUGUAGUGGGAGAUUUGAAAGGUUAGUUGUAUAGAGGGGACUCCUCUAGCCUGUUGGCAAUGUAUUAGCUGUGGAAGAUAUUAAACAAGGUCUUUCUUCUUCAUCGUCAUCAUCAUCAUCAUUAGAAAUGUUAACAGUAGAAAGCUUCCUGUUUCUAAAUAAACCAUUUUUUAAAUUGCCUGAAUUAUUAAUGAUCCUGAAAUAAGGCGAAGCACCCUUCAUCCCCAUCUGUAGUCCGCUCAUACCAGCCAGCAGUCAUUAUUGAUUAUUGAACCAGCGAUUACCGAUCUAGCAUCUCUCCCGUGUCCUCCUGCGUUGUUUGAGGGAAUUCCAAGCUGUUCUUUCCUCUUUUUAUCCUAUGACCAUGUGAGAACAGUUCUGCUGUGUGUGAACGAACCUGUCCAGGCCUUCGUUCAUAUUUCAGUGUGUAGUGGGACCAGUUGCUUUCUAAACGGUAGUGUCCAUAUUUUAAGCAGUGGACUUAAGUCAGUGGUCAUAUCUGGCUAUAUCUAACAGAUGGAAAUUGUAAUUUGAAGGUAUCGAAAGGGGUCUGAAAUACAAAACGCAUGAACUCGUGAAAGAACCGCUGCUGCCUGGAGGAUGUGGAUCGUAACAUAUAUAAAUUGAUCUUCGAGUUUUAGCGUGAGGCCUAUUUUCCCGUUCUCGUUCACUCACUGCGCUACGUACUCCUUUACGUCUCUGACGCUACGCGGGGCGUCGUGUCGUAGUUGAAAGGAGUUUGAAUGUCUUAACUCUGACCGACCUAAUUAAGGCACUAUACUCCCUCCAUUGUGUCUGUCCCAAUGAAAUAAGCGGUAGAUUACCAACGGGUUGGACUGUGUACUUGACUACGGUUGUCAUUUAGCAGAACGUAGACAGACCUUCAUACUAGGAACGUUAGAAUCAUACGAUAUGAAUAUCUGUUUAUCAGCCACGUGAUAUACGAGACGUUUUAACGUGACGGAAAAAAAGCUUAAAGCUCUGUCUCUCUCACUCAUCGUCCGAGCGGAGCCGUUGCUAUGGAUACUAACAGGCAGAGAGCACACGGAGCAGAAGCAGGACAGUGCAGGGCCAAGAGAUGAGCGGGGCCCAGAGAUCAGCAGCUAACAGAGAAAGUUAUGGUUAGGACAGAUGAUAAAAUGAAAGAAAAAAACAUUUGUUUUUCGGUUAGGGAUUUAUUUUUAUUAACGAUCCCAAUUUUGUUUUAACGUUCACAACCCUACUUCGCUAGUUCAUUAUUCGUUUCAUCCUCCUACCUAUCAUUUUAAAACCUUCAGCGUGUUAAACGACUUUACUGUCCUGUCUCUGACUGGUCAUAUUGUCUCUCUGUCCUGUCUCUGACUGCUCAUAUUGUCUCUGACCUGUCUCUGACUGCUCAUAUUGUCUCUCUGUCCUGUCUCUGACUGCUCAUAUUGUCUCUGACCUGUCUCUGACUGCUCAUAUUGUCUCUGUCCUGUCUCUGACUGCUCAUAUUGUCUCUGUCCUGUUGCUGACUGGUCAUAUUGUCUCUCUGUCCUGUCUCUGACUGGUCAUAUUGUCUCUCUGUCCUGUUGCUGACUGGUCAUAUUGUCUCUCUGUCCUGUCUCUGACUGGUCAUAUUGUCUCUCUGUCCUAAGUCUCUCUCUCUCUAUCUCUCGUUCGUUCGUUUGUUCGUUGUAUUAAAUGAGAGCGGAUAACCUGUCGAACCUUUUAUAAAGUUAGUAGCCUGAUUUGAUAUGAAACACUUUUCCCCAAAGCCUUUUUGAAGCCUGGGUCACGUUCAUCAGGCACCAAAUGGACACAAACGGGGAGUACUAUUUUUUUUAUUUUUGUUUUGUGUGUGUUGCACAAUGUUUUUGAAACGUAUUGCUACGAUGGGCCCUAAUGAACACGACCCAGGUGUGACGCCCAUGGACAAACAGGCAGCAAGUCAACAAGGAUAUUAUGAACAUUUUUAAAGGGCUUUUACCUCAAGUGUAAAACCAGUGUGAGAAAGAGACAGCUUAGGGGCUGUAGUAGUGUAAUUCAUCCUGAUUCUGUUGUCUUUUUUUUUUUUAAUUAAAGUUUUCACAUAAUAACAAAAAUAUACUUGUCCAUCUUAUUAUGCAACUGAUGAACUUUUUCUGAGUCUUCUUGUGUGAAAGACUGGUCUCCUGACAUGCGUUGAUAUGAUUGGUAGGGCAAGGUGUCUCAACUGUCUGUCCUGUUAGUUUUUUUGCAUGUCUCCUGAUGAACGUAAAACUACCACCUGCAUCCCAAAUGGAACACUAUUCCCUACUUAGUGCACUACUUUACACCAGAGCCCUAUGGAACCCUAUUCCCUAUAUAGUGCACUACUUUAGACCAGAGCCCUAUGGAACCCUAUUCCCUAUAUAGUACACUACUUUAGACCAGAGCCCUAUGGAACCCUAUUCCCUAUAUAGUGCACUACUUUAGACCAGAGCCCUAUGGAACCCUAUUCCCUACUUAGUGCACUACUUUAGACCAGAACCCUAUGGAACCCUAUUCCCUACUUAGUGCACUACUUUAGACCAGAGCCCUAUGGGCCCUAUAUAGGGAAUAGGGUGCAGUUUGGAACUAAGAGUUAGUUUCAAAACCACUUGCUAGAGGAGCUCUGGAAAAAUGAUAACACUUUACUUCAAGCCUGCAGGUAUAAUGCUUCAUAACUGCUCAUAAGCACCUAUAAGAGUAUUAUCUUGUCUCUUUAUGUCAACUGACUCAAACGGCUGGUAUUUCAUCCAUUAUGAGAUGAGACAUUUAUAAUAGGGUCAUAUGCUUAUGACAAUGCAUUAUAGCCGCAUCAUAAUGCAUUAUAACCUCUGGUAUUAAGUAAAGUUGUACUGAAGUUACGACUGGUUUUUCACUACCGUCCAUGAUGAUAGACCCAUUAUCUCCUACCUGUUCUACACUGGUCCCCCACAGCGGUUAGUCUCCUACCUGUUCUACACUGGUCCCCCACAGCAGUUAGUCUCCUACCUGUUCUACACUGGUCCCCCACAGCGGUUAGUCUCCUAGCCUGGUCCCCCAGCGCGGUUAGUCUCCUAGCCUGGUCCCCCCCCCCCAGCGGUUAGUCUCCUAGCCUGGCUCCCCCCC
RNAcentral lists this long non-coding RNA (3701 nucleotides) under Salmo salar (Atlantic salmon). RNAcentral's name for it is "lncRNA (ENSSSAG00000084998.1, ENSSSAG00000103675.1)". The record is from RNAcentral. Lineage: Eukaryota; Metazoa; Chordata; Actinopteri; Salmoniformes; Salmonidae.